CCUACGGGGGGCAGCAGUCGAGAAUCAUUCACAAUGGGGGAAACCCUGAUGGUGCGACGCCGCGUGGGGGGAAUGAAGGUCUUCGGAUUGAAAACCCCUGUCAUGGGGGAGCAAAUUAAAAAGAUAGUACCACAAGAGGAAGAGACGGUUAACUCUGUGCCAGAAGCAGCGGUCAUACAGAGGUCUCAAGCGUUGUUCGGAAUCAGUGGGCGUAAAGUGUGCGUAGGCUGUGUCGUAAGUCGUGUGUGAAAGGCGCGGGCUCAACACGCGGACGGCACAUGCUACUGCGAGACUGGAGUCGUGGAGGGGGAACCGGAAUUCUCGGUGUAGCAGUGAAAUGCGUAGAUAUCGAGAGGAACACUCGUGGCGAAGGCGGGUUCCUGGACAUUAACUGACGCUGAGGCACGAAGGCCAGGGGAGCGAAAGGGAUUAGAUACCCGAGUAGUC
This 447-nucleotide ribosomal RNA is filed under the name uncultured bacterium. Its description in RNAcentral is "partial 16S ribosomal RNA". It matches the Rfam family "Bacterial small subunit ribosomal RNA", at positions 338 to 795 of the family's 1533-position model. The record is from RNAcentral.